This 253-nucleotide ribosomal RNA is filed under the name uncultured bacterium. RNAcentral describes it as "partial 16S ribosomal RNA". It matches the Rfam family "Bacterial small subunit ribosomal RNA", at positions 524 to 776 of the family's 1533-position model. The record is from RNAcentral.
UACGUAGGGCGCAAGCGUUGUCCGGAAUUAUUGGGCGUAAAGAGCUCGUAGGUGGUUUGUUACGUCUGCUGUGAAAACCUAGGGCUUAACCCUGGGCCUGCAGUGGAUACGGGCAGACUAGAGGUAGGUAGGGGAGAAUGGAAUUCCCGGUGUAGCGGUGAAAUGCGCAGAUAUCGGGAGGAACACCGGUGGCGAAGGCGGUUCUCUGGGCCUUACCUGACACUGAGGAGCGAAAGCGUGGGGAGCAAACAGG